GAAGCUGGCUAGACAAUCGCCGCCUGCUUUUCAGCAAUGGAAGCAGGGGGAGGAAAGUCCGGGCUCCACAGAGCAGGAUGCCGGUUAAUGGCCGGCCGCCGAAAGGCGAGGAACAGGGCCACAGAGACGAGCGUAUUAAGUUACGGUGAAACGCGGUAACCUCCAUCCGGAGCAAGACCAAAUAGGCAGGCGAAGAUGCUGCUCGCUGAGCCUGCGGGUGGGUCGCUUGAGCGCACGGGCAACCGUGCGCCUAGAGGAAUGAUUGUCCACGACAGAACCCGGCUUACCGGCCAGCUUCUUCU
Molecule: RNase P RNA, 302 nt
Filed under: Betaproteobacteria bacterium
Lineage: Bacteria; Pseudomonadati; Pseudomonadota; Betaproteobacteria
Description: RNase P RNA component class A
Rfam family: Bacterial RNase P class A
About the family: Ribonuclease P (RNase P) is a ubiquitous endoribonuclease, found in archaea, bacteria and eukarya as well as chloroplasts and mitochondria. Its best characterised activity is the generation of mature 5'-ends of tRNAs by cleaving the 5'-leader elements of precursor-tRNAs.
Source: RNAcentral